This 663-nucleotide ribosomal RNA is filed under the name uncultured fungus. RNAcentral describes it as "eukaryotic LSU rRNA". The stretch from base 205 to 358 matches the Rfam family "5.8S ribosomal RNA". The record is from RNAcentral. Lineage: Eukaryota; Fungi.
AAGUCGUAACAAGGUUUCCGUAGGUGAACCUGCGGAAGGAUCAUUCAUAAUAAGUGUUUUAUGGCACUUUUUAAAUCCAUAUCCACCUUGUGUGCAAUGUCAGUCGGUUUUCUUUUUCGUCAAGAAAAAGGAUCGACCAAACAUCAACUUAUUCUAAUUGAACUUUUGUCUGAAAACUAUUAUGAAUAAACUAAUUCAAAAUACAACUUUCAACAACGGAUCUCUUGGCUCUCGCAUCGAUGAAGAACGCAGCGAAAUGCGAUACGUAAUGUGAAUUGCAGAAUUCAGUGAAUCAUCGAAUCUUUGAACGCAUAUUGCGCUCUUUGGUAUUCCGAAGAGCAUGCUUGUUUGAGUAUCAGUAAACACCUCAAAACUCUUGAUCUUUUUCAAGCGUUUUGGACUUGAGCAAACCCAACGCCUUUUCUUUUAAGAUCUGUUGCGGCGGGUUGCUUGAAAUGCAGGUGCAGCUGGACAAUCUCCUGAGCUAAAAGCAUAUUUAUUUAGUCCCGUCAAACGGAUUAUUACUUUUUGCUGCAGCUAACAUAAAGGGAGUUUUGACCAUUAUGGCUGACUGAUGCAGGAUUUCACAGAGAAAAGGCCGGCAACGGUUUUGUCUCUGUCAAACUCGAUCUCAAAUCAAGUAAGACUACCCGCUGAACUUAA